RNAcentral lists this long non-coding RNA (199 nucleotides) under Physcomitrium patens. RNAcentral's name for it is "long non-coding RNA (PPAT_LNC010005)". Lineage: Eukaryota; Viridiplantae; Streptophyta; Bryopsida; Funariales; Funariaceae. The record is from RNAcentral.
UUAUUUAAAAAACUUUCUUAAAGUGCUAAGUUGAUUGUUUAAGCUAUUAUCAUAGACCAAAACUCAAUUAUCUUCUUUAAUUGCCAUAGGUCUCAAUUAAUGUUGCUUAUCAAAUCAUGCCUUAUUUUUUAACCUUACCUUUUAAACUUUUCAAAUACUAUUUAUACAUCUUUUGGUCUUUGUUCAAGUUUUUGAAUUU